This 221-nucleotide long non-coding RNA is filed under the name Brassica napus (rape). Its description in RNAcentral is "long non-coding RNA (BNAP_LNC002736)". The record is from RNAcentral. Lineage: Eukaryota; Viridiplantae; Streptophyta; Magnoliopsida; Brassicales; Brassicaceae.
UGUUGAGUGCAGGUUCCCGUUAUCUUGAAAGAUAGUUUCUCAGCGGGAGGCUGGACUAUCUGGGUAAUGGUUUGAUUGUAUUGUUUAGUAUUGAUAUUAUUGUUUAGUAGUUAGUACUAAGGGUCUUAGGCCAUAUAGGCCGGACUACUGCUACUACUGGUUUGUGUUGUAGAGUUGAGUGUCUAGUUAGGAUCUGGAACUUUGGCUUUAGGUUAGGUUCU